This 750-nucleotide ribosomal RNA is filed under the name Chaetoceros socialis. Its description in RNAcentral is "eukaryotic LSU rRNA". It matches the Rfam family "Eukaryotic large subunit ribosomal RNA", at positions 85 to 852 of the family's 3401-position model. The record is from RNAcentral. Lineage: Eukaryota; Bacillariophyta; Thalassiosirophyceae; Chaetocerotales; Chaetocerotaceae.
AAGGGCGACUGAAGCGGGAAGAGCUCACUCUGUGAAUCUGUAUGCUCUUCUGCUAUACCGAGUUGUAGAAUAUAGAAGCACAUCAGUGCGAAUUCCGGUCUAAGUCUCUUGGAAAAGAGCAGCUAAGAGGGUGAGACUCCCGUUCUUGGCUGGAAUUCAAACUUUAGCAUGUGGUUUCGACGAGUCGAGUUGCUUGGGAUUGCAGCUCAAAGUUGGUGGUAAAUUCCAUCUAAAGCUAAAUAUCGGUGGGAGACCGAUAGCGUACAAGUACCGUGAGGGAAAGAUGCAAAGAACUUUGAAAAAAGAGUUAAAGAGUACCUGAAAUUGCUGAAAUGGAAGCGAAGGAAACCAGUGCCGUUCUGUAUCAUUCUUCCGUCCUUGCUUGCGAGGGUGGCGCUGUGAUGCAGGAUAGGCCAGCGUGGGUUUGAGCCGAAGGAAGCAGCUCUUCAGGAGGCAGCGCAAUUUCUGUGCGAUUACUGUUGAGCUUUGCUUCGGCUUGGACUGAGGCUAGUCACUUGUGCUCGUGACGCUGGCGAAAUGGUUUUCUUUACCCCGUCUUGAAACACGGACCAAGGAGUCUAACAUAUGUGCGAGUAUAUGAGUGACAAACUCACAUGCGAAAUGAAAGUAACAGUGGUUGGACCUUCUGGGCACAAUCCGCCGGCCACAAUCCUUCGGGAGAAAGGUCUGAGUGUGAGCAUACAUGUUGGGACCCGAAAGAUGGUGAACUAUGCCUGAAUAGGGUGAAGC